AGAAUCAACGCUGGCGGCGUGCCUAACACAUGCAAGUCGAACGAGAAAGGGGUAGCAAUACCCUGAGUAAAGUGGCGCACGGGUGAGUAACACGUGACUAACCUACCCUUGAGUGGGGGAUAACUGAGGGAAACCUUAGCUAAUACCGCAUAAUACCCACGGGUCAAAGGAGCAAUUCGCUCGAGGAGGGGGUCGCGGCCGAUUAGUUAGUUGGCGGGGUAAUGGCCCACCAAGACGAUGAUCGGUAUCCGGCCUGAGAGGGCGCACGGACACACUGGAACUGAAACACGGUCCAGACUCCUACGGGAGGCAGCAGUGGGGAAUUUUGCGCAAUGGGGGAACCCUGACGCAGCAACGCCGCGUGGAGGAUGAAGUCCUUCGGGACGUAAACUCCUUUCGAUCGGGACGAUUAUGACGGUACCGGAAGAAGAAGCCCCGGCUAACUUCGCGCCAGCAGCCGC
This 461-nucleotide ribosomal RNA is filed under the name uncultured bacterium. RNAcentral's name for it is "SSU rRNA". It matches the Rfam family "Bacterial small subunit ribosomal RNA", at positions 26 to 518 of the family's 1533-position model. The record is from RNAcentral.